UACGGAGGGUGCGAGCGUUGUCCGGAAUCAUUGGGCGUAAAGGGCGCGUAGGCGGUUUGACAAGUCUGAUGUGAAAUCUCUGGGCUCAACCCAGAGUCUGCAUUAGAAACUGUCGGGCUUGAGUAUGGGAGAGGUGAGUGGAAUUUCCGGUGUAGCGGUGGAAUGCGUAGAUAUCGGAAGGAACACCUGUGGCGAAAGCGGCUCACUGGACCAUAACUGACGCUGAGGCGCGAAAGCUAGGGGAGCAAACAGG
RNAcentral lists this ribosomal RNA (253 nucleotides) under uncultured bacterium. RNAcentral's name for it is "partial 16S ribosomal RNA". It matches the Rfam family "Bacterial small subunit ribosomal RNA", at positions 524 to 776 of the family's 1533-position model. The record is from RNAcentral.